UACGAAGGGGGCUAGCGUUGCUCGGAAUCACUGGGCGUAAAGCGCACGUAGGCGGAUUGCUAAGUCAGGGGUGAAAUCCUGGAGCUCAACUCCAGAACUGCCUUUGAUACUGGGAGUCUCGAGUCCGGGAGAGGUGAGUGGAACUGCGAGUGUAGAGGUGAAAUUCGUAGAUAUUCGCAAGAACACCAGUGGCGAAGGCGGCUCACUGGCCCGGUACUGACGCUGAGGCGCGAAAGCGUGGGGAGCAAACAGG
RNAcentral lists this ribosomal RNA (253 nucleotides) under uncultured bacterium. RNAcentral's name for it is "partial 16S ribosomal RNA". It matches the Rfam family "Bacterial small subunit ribosomal RNA", at positions 524 to 776 of the family's 1533-position model. The record is from RNAcentral.